CAGCAUUAGUUGCGCCUGCUGCGACACGCCUCGGCUGAAGUUGUCUGGCAUUAAACCCAGUUUGUAAAAUUGAUCCGUCGUGAUUCCAAAAUGGGAAAAGUAGCUUUCAUCUCGCUUGUAAUAGCUGCCUUAUCGGCGCUGCUCGGAGAGAGGAUUGUCAACUUAAGGAAAACGACCCUCGCCUCUAGGGAGCUGGUGCAGAAUCACCUCCCCAACUGUGUUGCGCUCAAAAAUCUGGAUUAUGGCUCAGAGGAUAUAACGAUCCUUGGAAACGGGCUUGCAUUUAUCAGCACUGGUCUGAAGUAUCCUGGACUACCAUCCUCAGAUGUGCCAGGCAAGAUCUUCUCCCUUGAUAUGGAAGAUCCUCGGAUGAAACCAGUGGAGCUGCGCAUGCCAAGAAACUUUGAUCUGGAAUCAUUCAACCCUCAUGGCAUCAGUGUAUUCACCGAUCUAAGAGAUGACGCAAUAUACCUGUUUGUCGUCAAUCAUCCUCAACACAAAAGCCAAGUAGAGCUGUUUCAAUAUGUUGAGGACGACCACUCACUGCUGCAUCUGAAAACCAUAAAACAUGACCUUCUCCACAGUGUAAACGAUAUUGUGGCAGUGGGAGUGGAUAGCUUCUAUGCAACCAAUGAUCACUACUUUACCCAUGAACUCCUUAAAGGUUUGGUGGAGCCUUUUCUGUCUCAGCCUUGGGCUAAUGUUGUGUACUACAGUCCUAAGGAAGUAAAAGUGGUCUCUGAGGGAUAUUACUUUGCAAAUGGAAUUAAUAUCUCACCAGACAAAAGACAUAUAUAUGUGGUAGAUUUAUUUGACCACAAUGUGCAUGUGCUGGAGCGGAAAGAAGACAAUGGGUUGGUCACUGUGAAGUCUGUGGCUGUGGGUUCGCUCUGUGACAAUAUGGAAGUGGAACCUGAAACUGGUGACCUGUGGUUAGGCUGUCACCCCAAUGCAUGGAAACUUUUUAUGUUUGAUGCCAAGGACCCGCCUGGAUCAGAGGUCAUCCAAAUCCAGAACAUUCAUUCUGAUCAGCCACUGGUGACUCAGGUGUACGCUGACGAUGGCCACGUGCUCCUUGGCUCCUCUGUAGCAGCUACAUAUGGGGGAAAGUUGCUCAUUGGCACUGUGUUCCAUAAAGCCCUGUGCUGUGAUUUGAAGUAGACAAUUAUUCGUAAACAUAUGAUGUAGUGAUGAUUUGAAUGAUGAGAUAUAUACAUGGAUAUUACAGCACAUGGAAAAUGCUUUACCCUGUUCUACUAGACAGGAUCUGAUAAUAAACCCAGAAAAGAGUGUCUGAAGAUCCACUAGGAGGAGAUUGAGGAAGGUAAAUGCGUUGUGUUUACCUGAUUCUACAGUAUAGCAAUACGCCCUGGUUACAACAGCAUAUUUGAAAGUGCUUUCAGACACAGAAGUUACUGAACUGCCUGGAUACUUGAACCACUCUGCAAUAAGUACUAAAACAUUAUUUUCAAUCAAACAUUUGCUUUGCUGUGUAUCAUGAAAAUAAUAUUUUCACUGGUCUCCUGAACAUUUGAAAUCUGUACAGAUGCAUUGUUUGUAACUGAAUGGUUUAAUUGCUAUUGUCACAUUUGUUUCAUGUAUUUGAAUGUAAGUAAAACGAGUCGUGCUGCA
Sander lucioperca (pikeperch) is the source of this 1632-nucleotide RNA transcript. It is a transcript of the gene named serum paraoxonase/arylesterase 2-like, with no coding region annotated. Lineage: Eukaryota; Metazoa; Chordata; Actinopteri; Perciformes; Percidae. The transcript is spliced from 10 exons. The record is from RefSeq and is a predicted model, not a curated record.